CGGGCCGGCCAGACAGUCGCUGGCGGCUAUUCUUUUUUGAAGAGUGGCCGCUGGAGGAAAGUCCGGGCUCCACAGGGCAGGGUGCCAGGUAACGCCUGGGGGCCACACUGGUGACGGUGUGGCUACGGAAAGUGCCGCAGAGAAUAUACCGCCGAUGGCUUCUUUCUUCGGAAAGGGCACAGGUAAGGGUGAAAAGGUGCGGUAAGAGCGCACCGCGCUUCUGGUAACAGGAGUGGCAGGGUAAACCCCACCCGGAGCAAGACCAAAUAGGGUUCCUAUGGCGUGGCCCGCGCUGGAACCGGGUAGGUCGCUAGAGGCCUGUGGCGACGCAGGUCCCAGAUGAAUGACUGUCCACGACAGAACCCGGCUUAUCGGCCGGCCCCCUGA
This 387-nucleotide RNase P RNA is filed under the name Gammaproteobacteria bacterium HGW-Gammaproteobacteria-14. Its description in RNAcentral is "RNase P RNA component class A". It matches the Rfam family "Bacterial RNase P class A". Rfam says of the family: Ribonuclease P (RNase P) is a ubiquitous endoribonuclease, found in archaea, bacteria and eukarya as well as chloroplasts and mitochondria. Lineage: Bacteria; Pseudomonadati; Pseudomonadota; Gammaproteobacteria. The record is from RNAcentral.